UGGGGAAUUGUUCGCAAUGGGGGAAACCCUGACGAAGCAACGCCGCGUGGAGGAUGAAGGCCUUCGGGUCGUAAACUCCUGUCGACCGGGACGAACGCUAUUGGGCCCAAUACGCCCGAUAGUCGACUGUACCGGUGGAGGAAGCCACGGCUAACUCUGUGCCAGCAGCCGCGGUAAUACAGAGGUGGCAAGCGUUGUUCGGAAUUACUGGGCGUAAAGGGCGCGUAGGCGGUCCUGUCAGUCCCUUGUGAAAUCCCCCGGCUCAACUGGGGAACUGCAAGGGAUACAGCAGGGCUUGAGUUCGGGAGAGGGAAGCGGAAUUCCGGGUGUAGCGGUGAAAUGCGUAGAUAUCCGGAGGAACACCGGUGGCGAAGGCGGCUUCCUGGACCGAUACUGACGCUGAGGCGCGAAAGCUAGGGGAGCAAACGGGAUUAGAUACCCAGGUAGUCCCUGAGCGGGCUGGCAAGGCGCAU
This 473-nucleotide ribosomal RNA is filed under the name uncultured bacterium. RNAcentral describes it as "bacterial SSU rRNA". It matches the Rfam family "Bacterial small subunit ribosomal RNA", at positions 355 to 825 of the family's 1533-position model. The record is from RNAcentral.